AGAAUCAUAGGUUGACCGUCUUGAAGCAGCUGCGAAAGAGGUUCAAUGCAUUUCAUCACCAAUUACACAAAAAAUAUGAAUCUUAUGAAAGCCACGAAGAGGCAUUGGCCACUGGAUGUUCAAUGGUUGACUUGAACGUUUGGGUUACCUUGUGUCGGAGGUGGGGAAGCGACGAAUUCAAGAAAAUGGCUCGGCAAAAUCGGGAGAAUAGAAAGGCGUUAUAUGUCAACCACACAGCUGGCCGGAAAUCCUUUGUAAGGAUCUUGGAGGAGAAGCGGGCUGCAAAUGCGGAUUUGGUGGAGUUCUAUAAAGAGACUC
Long non-coding RNA from Carya illinoinensis, 318 nucleotides. RefSeq lists it as uncharacterized. The record is from RefSeq and is a predicted model, not a curated record. Lineage: Eukaryota; Viridiplantae; Streptophyta; Magnoliopsida; Fagales; Juglandaceae. The transcript has 3 exons.